UACAUGGGGUGCAAACGUUGCUCGGAAUUAUUGGGCGUAAAGCGCGCGUAGGCGGUUACUUAAGUCGGAUGUGAAAGCCCUCGGCUUAACUGAGGAAGUGCACCCGAAACUGAGUAGCUAGAGUACGAAAGAGGGUCGCGGAAUUCCCGGUGUAGCGGUGAAAUGCGUAGAUAUCUGGAGGAACACCGGUGGCGAAGGCGGCAGCCUGGACCGGUAUUGACGCUGAGGCGCGAAAGCCAGGGGAGCAAACGGG
This 253-nucleotide ribosomal RNA is filed under the name uncultured bacterium. Its description in RNAcentral is "partial 16S ribosomal RNA". It matches the Rfam family "Bacterial small subunit ribosomal RNA", at positions 524 to 776 of the family's 1533-position model. The record is from RNAcentral.